GAGCAAGGCCAGACCCCAGCGGCACAUUUCCUGCCCAAAACUUGGGGCCGCGACGGUAUGCACUCCGGGACUCAAACCCCAGGAUCAAGUACUAAGAAAACAGCCAGAGAGAGACUUUUCCAAUCACCUCCCACAACUGGAGUGAAGAAUCAGGAUACAGUGGACAAAAUAAGACAUGAAGUGUAAGGAUGUUGUUUCAGGCUGCACACGUGUCCCAGAGAAGAAGAAACCAAGCAUCGUGAUAGAACUCUGUUGAGCCAGGCAAAGUAUGAAUGGUCUGAUCUUCCUCCAUCAUGGAAAGAAACUUAUACUGAUUCAUCAAGAAGCAGGGAUAGAAGCCUGUUUAUAUUGUUAUUUAUUUUAGAGACUAUAAAAGUGACUAACCAAAAGAACCAAAACAGGGAUGGUUGGGAAAAACGUGGUUAUCUUUGGGCAGUGAGGCCACCUUGACUGGAAGACUGCCCAAGAGUGAAGGUGACAAAGGAACCAAGAUCAGGAGACCAAGAAAAGAGGACAAUCCAGAUCCAACAAUAUCGCUAGAGUCCCUUGGUCAAGCUGAAUAUGGAAAUGAGCUUUUCCCUAUGUAAGCCAAUAAAGUCUGCUUUUGAGUUGGGUUUCUGGAACUUGCCAUUAAAAAUGCCCAAUACAUGCCAACUACUCCUCCCCUUUCCCUCCCACCUCCCCUCCAGUUAAGGUCUUUGCCUUCUCAUCUUUAUAAACUUGCAUUGCCAGAUGCCUUGUGUAUAUAUUUACAUAAGAAGUUCAAAGUUCCUAGGUAUGCGAGUUAAUAGUGGAAUUAUUUAAUUGAUAAGUCCAAGUUUAUCUAGCAGUGCUGUAAGGAAGUCCAGGUGCAGUCGCUUAUGCCUGUAACCCCAACACCUUGGGAGGCCGAGGCAGGAGGAUCGCUUGAGUCCAG
Molecule: long non-coding RNA, 916 nt
Filed under: Homo sapiens (human)
Lineage: Eukaryota; Metazoa; Chordata; Mammalia; Primates; Hominidae
Description: HSALNT0345158
Source: RNAcentral